RNAcentral lists this ribosomal RNA (378 nucleotides) under uncultured bacterium. RNAcentral describes it as "bacterial SSU rRNA". It matches the Rfam family "Bacterial small subunit ribosomal RNA", at positions 28 to 408 of the family's 1533-position model. The record is from RNAcentral.
GACGAACGCUGGCGGCGUGCUUAACACAUGCAAGUCGAGCGGUAAGGCCCUUUCGGGGGUACACGAGCGGCGAACGGGUGAGUAACACGUGGGUGACCUGCCCUCAGCUCUGGGAUAAGCCUGGGAAACUGGGUCUAAUACUGGAUAUGACUCCACGGUGCAUGUCGUGGGGUGGAAAGCCUUGUGCGGCUGAGGAUGGGCCCGCGGCCUAUCAGCUUGUUGUGGGGUGANGGCCUACCAAGGCGACGACGGGUAGCCGGCCUGAGAGGGCGACCGGCCACACUGGGACUGAGACACGGCCCAGACUCCUACGGGAGGCAGCAGUGGGGAAUCUUGCGCAAUGGGCGAAAGCCUGACGCAGCGACGCCGCGUGAGGGA